AACAAAACACUGAAGAAGUAUUUCAUGCUAUUCUUGAGGAAAAGAUGGAGAAGCAUGAGCUAUGGAUCAUGGUCAGAUAUGAAGAGGAAAUGGAUCUCAUUUUGGACAAGAUAUACAAAAGAGCCACUGCACAGCACCAAAGAAACCAAUCCAGGAAGGACUGAUGCACUUCCAAGCCAAUACAAAGGACUUGAACCUAAUGUGAAGACUCAGGGUUGCAACGCUUAACAUACAUUAAGACGUAGGCCUUCCUUGCAUCCACACUCAUUGUGAAAAUACUUACAGAUGAGUAUCCCAAACUUGGCUCCUUACCUGGCUCCUAUAAUCUAGUCCCUUUUCUCUCUUUCACAGUGUGGCAAACUUUCUGUGGUCCUGGCUACUGAUUGGGUAAAUGCUUACUUGCUUAGAUCAUUUUAAUUGGGCCCUGAUUCAAGGACCUGUUAUAGAUUUACUUUUACUUUACUUGAAAUUUUCAUACAUAAAAAUUUGAUAGUCUAUAUUUUCAUCCAGAAAUUAUCUUUUUUAUUUGG
RNAcentral lists this long non-coding RNA (530 nucleotides) under Monodelphis domestica (gray short-tailed opossum). RNAcentral describes it as "lncRNA (ENSMODG00000045232.1)". The record is from RNAcentral. Lineage: Eukaryota; Metazoa; Chordata; Mammalia; Didelphimorphia; Didelphidae.